GACGCACGCUGGCGGCGUGCUUAACACAUGCAAGUCGAACGGAAAGGCCUCUUUCGGGGGGUACUCGAGUGGCGAACGGGUGAGUAACACGUGAGUAACCUGCCCUUGACUUUGGGAUAACUUCAGGAAACUGGGGCUAAUACCGGAUAGGAGCUCCUGCUGCAUGGUGGGGGUUGGAAAGUUUCGGCGGUUGGGGAUGGACUCGCGGCUUAUCAGCUUGUUGGUGGGGUAGUGGCUUACCAAGGCUUUGACGGGUAGCCGGCCUGAGAGGGUGACCGGCCACAUUGGGACUGAGAUACGGACCAGACUCCUACGGGAGGCAGCAGUGGGGAAUAUUGCACAAUGGGUGGAAGCCUGAUGCAGCAACGCCGUGUGCGGGAUGACGGCCUUCGGGUUGUAAACCGCUUUCGCUCAUGACGAAGCUUUGUGUGACGGUAGUGGGUAAAGAAGCACCGGCUAACUACGUG
This 467-nucleotide ribosomal RNA is filed under the name uncultured bacterium. RNAcentral describes it as "partial 16S ribosomal RNA". It matches the Rfam family "Bacterial small subunit ribosomal RNA", at positions 28 to 507 of the family's 1533-position model. The record is from RNAcentral.